This is a long non-coding RNA of Patella vulgata (common limpet), 716 nucleotides long. RefSeq lists it as uncharacterized. NCBI's taxonomy places the organism in Eukaryota, Metazoa, Mollusca, Gastropoda, Patellidae. The record is from RefSeq and is a predicted model, not a curated record. The transcript is spliced from 4 exons.
UGAACCAGAACCUAUUUACCAUUCAUAUAGACACGGAAAUGGUUUAACGGAAGGAGGAUGGUUCAAUUAUACAUGUUACCAAGGUUACACUUUAGUCCAGGGAGAUUUAAACAGAGAAUGUCAAGCUGGUAUUUUUACAGGCGAUGUGCCUCUUUGUUCCGAGAAUUUGGCACUAUAUGGCGUAUUUGUAGCUGUUCCAUCAGACCCAAAUAGUAUACCAAUGCAUAUAGUUGAUGGAGACAACACAACCUGUUCACAAAGCGCCGCUGACAGUAAUCCAACCUGGCAAAUUACUCUAACUAAAAAUAAAACCGUGCAUCGAAUAAUACUCAGUUGGCCAGAUGGAUCAAAUAACCUAUUAAAUUCUAUAUCAGUUACCAUAACAGAUGGGAGUGAUGUUUAUAAUUGUGGUACAGCUACUUUCACUUCUCCACCAACUAACUCUCUUAUUAUUGAUUGUCAUAAAUUUUACACCGGGGAGGUAAUCAGCAUUGUUGGUGACCCCAUUCUCCUCCCCUCGUCUCUAGAAUUGUGUGAAGUUAGAAUUUAUGGAAGCGAUUUUAAACAUCUCUGUGGUAAUCCACCGUUUGUGUAUGGCGGUGAAUUUGUAGAACAGUUGACACCAGAUACUGUAUUGUAUUCCUGUGUUCAGGGGUUUUACUAUGGUGGAUUAAACCGAACAUCAACUUGUCAACCUAAUGGGACAUGGACAGAUG